RNAcentral lists this ribosomal RNA (253 nucleotides) under uncultured bacterium. RNAcentral describes it as "partial 16S ribosomal RNA". It matches the Rfam family "Bacterial small subunit ribosomal RNA", at positions 524 to 776 of the family's 1533-position model. The record is from RNAcentral.
UACGUAGGGGGCUAGCGUUGUCCGGAUUUAUUGGGCGUAAAGAGCGUGUAGGCGGCCAGGUAGGUCUGGUGUGAAAACUCGAGGCUUAACCUCGAGAUGUCAUCGGAAACCAUCUGGCUAGAGUCCGGAAGAGGAGAGUGGAAUUCCUGGUGUAGCGGUGAAAUGCGCAGAUAUCAGGAAGAACACCAAUGGCGAAAGCAGCUCGCUGGGACGUUACUGACGCUGAGACGCGAAAGCGUGGGGAGCAAACAGG